Molecule: long non-coding RNA, 1570 nt
Organism: Triticum aestivum (bread wheat)
Lineage: Eukaryota; Viridiplantae; Streptophyta; Magnoliopsida; Poales; Poaceae
Exons: 4
Source: RefSeq, a predicted model, not a curated record
CUUGAGGCCGAGAGGACUUCGACCCUAGGCCCUCGCCGUCUGCCUCCUUUUCAUCUUUUUUUGCUCGUGCUGCUCGUUAUCUACAUGGGUCGUCGACGAAGAAGUCAGGGAGGAGCGGAUGCUAUCUAGGGAGGUGGCUCGGACCAGAUCGACCAUGGCGAUGGCAUCGUUGACUCCCUGCUGGCCUUGCAGUUUUGCAAUUUAGGUAUCAAAGGAAUUAGGUAUUAUCAGCAUGAAUACUAUUUACACAGUCUGUUCUUUUAUUUAGAUUGACCGUCUUUGAAGUAAUUGACAUGUAGACUGCUGCAAAAUGAAUCAGUAAUGUUUAAAUUAACUUUAAAAACUUGCCAGGUUGGAUAUAUCUUUGUCAGAUAUUUAUAUCAUUGUUUUUCUUCUGUUCAUUUGUUGGGUAGGGCCGAGACCAGUGGGUUCAUUGCUAGGGGCUAUUGUAUUUGUCUUGCUACCGACUGUAGAUGUGAUCACUGAUUCUCAUUGACUGUAGUUGUAGUUUCAGAAGUAGGAUGGCUAGCAGUCAUCAUAUAUUGGUUAAGUUGCAUUUGUUUUGGGUACAACAAGAUGAUGAUCAAGAGAAUCCCGAUGAAAAGCAUCAUGCUGAUUCUGAUGUGGAAAUAGAUGAUGCCAAGCCUUUGGAGGAAUCUGAAAGGAGAAGCAAUACUCAAGAGUGCGAGAGUUGACAGAGAAUGUGCGAGAGUUAAGCAGUAUUGUAGUAGAUCACAUUUCAGGGAUACCAUUGAUUUAUUUUGCUCUUCUUACUUUUAUUAGAUAGGCCACAUUCUUUUUCUUUUACUCAUGCCUUUGUUGCUGACGGUGCUGUUGUGUAAAUUCAACAUUGAUGUUUAGUGUUAUGACAUGGUUUACACAAGCUGAAAUUUUGAUCCCUUGGAUGUUGCAGGUGCUGACAAUCUAAUUCCGAUGGAACUGGCCCUUAAAAUUACAACCAAGAUUACAGUUGGUAUGAGUUACUUGCUGAGAGUCAGAAAUUACAACCAAGAUUUUGUAACACGACUUUUAAACCAAGAGAUUUUUCAUCUUAGAUGCUACCGACAUGAGCUGGUAAUGUCGUGCUACCAUGGAGAAAACAUAGCUAGGGCGCUCCCCGGCCUGGAGCUCUGCUACUCCAUGACGCGGAGGUUCCUCGACAAGCAGACGGCGGUGGUCGGGCAGGUGUAGCCCGCGGCAGCGCUGCCCAUCCUGGACUGGAAGAUCUCCGUUCCUGGUAAUACUUGUUUCCUGUACACCUGCUUUUUUAUUUUGGUAAGGUUUCAUUUUUCGGGUGGUGCCAACGGUGGAACUUUGUUCUUGUUAUUUGGUGUGCGGGCUCUCUGAUUUUGAGAUGACUAGAGGUAAACUUCAGUUCAGAGUAUUAGAUUGUUUGGUUUAAUUAAGUCAGUGGGUGAGGGGUUUCAUGUUUAGAUUUCAGUGUAGUAUAGUAGUAUCCUGAAUUCUUAUGCUGUAAUGUGAAUUCUAAAGAUAUAAGAAAUCCAUGCAGAAUAUUUUGCUGUUUGCACCAAACAAUAUGCAUCCAAGUUACUUCAAUAAUGGGGAAUUA